AACGAACGCUGGCGGCAGGCUUAACACAUGCAAGUCGAACGAGCUGGGGGCUUCGGUCCCCGAUGCUAGUGGCGCACGGGUGAGUAACACGUGGGAAUAUGCCCUUUAGUACGGAAUAACCAAGGGAAACGUUGGCUAAUACCGUAUACGCCCUUCGGGGGAAAGAUUUAUCGCUAUAGGAUUAGCCCGCGUCGGUUUACGUAGUUGGUGAGGUAAUGGGUCACCAAGGCGACGUUCAGUAGCUGGUCUGCGAGGAUGAUCAGCCACACUGGGACUGGGACGCGGCCCGGACUCCUACGCGAUGGGGCAGUGGGUAAUAUUGGCCAAUGGCGGCAACCCUGAUCCAGCCAUGACGGGUGAGUGAAGAAGGCCUUCGGGUUGUAAAGCUCUUUCGACGGGGACGGUGAUGACGUUACCCGCAGAAGAAGCCCCGGCAAACUUCGUG
Molecule: ribosomal RNA, 445 nt
Filed under: uncultured bacterium
Lineage: Bacteria
Description: partial 16S ribosomal RNA
Rfam family: Bacterial small subunit ribosomal RNA
Source: RNAcentral